UCAAAUCUAACUGAUGAUCAGUUCAAAUCAGUGCUCCUUUACCAUGCCUUGCCACGAUACUAUGCCCUUGCGGACUUCAAUGACCUAAGUGAGAAAGGCCUUAUUAGUACACUUGCUGGUGGCCAAUACACUUUGCAAUUCAACGAUGAGUCUGGUACCGUCCGCCUCGAUUCCGGAUGGAGCAAAACAAAAGUCACUAGCGCAGUACAUACGUCCAAGCCAGUCGCAGUCUAUCAAAUCGAUAAGGUCCUUCUUCCGGAGGCCAUUUUCGGGACCGACAUACCUCCGACACCUGCACCUGCCCCGGCUCUUGGUAUUGGCCCAUCAGCUGACACUCCAUCAGCAGCAAAAUCCGAAGAAACUGGUUCCUCAUCAAAGCCUUCGUUUUCGGGUUCAUCAUCUCCUAGGAUCAUGAUGAACUCGGGCAUUUGGACUCAG
Molecule: long non-coding RNA, 438 nt
Filed under: Gossypium barbadense (sea-island cotton)
Lineage: Eukaryota; Viridiplantae; Streptophyta; Magnoliopsida; Malvales; Malvaceae
Description: long non-coding RNA (GBAR_LNC006866)
Source: RNAcentral